Non-coding RNA from Dallia pectoralis (Alaska blackfish), 79 nucleotides. The record is from the annotation of a GenBank genome assembly. NCBI's taxonomy places the organism in Eukaryota, Metazoa, Chordata, Actinopteri, Esociformes, Umbridae.
GGAGCAGUUGGCAGCUCAGUAGUAGAGUGCGUAUGACUUUGUGUGUAUGACGUCCUGGGUUCGAAUCCCAGCUGCUCCC